RNAcentral lists this long non-coding RNA (806 nucleotides) under Homo sapiens (human). Its description in RNAcentral is "HSALNT0347215". Lineage: Eukaryota; Metazoa; Chordata; Mammalia; Primates; Hominidae. The record is from RNAcentral.
GGACUAAAGCUCCAGGUUCUGGAACCAUGCUGUGAUGCAACGUGCAGGAUUGACCCAGAAUGACCUUAAAUUCUCACUGCCUAAAGAUUGGGCUGUCUGGGAGGGGCCCAACCACCUUGUCCCUGCAGGAGAAAAGGCGGGAUGGCAGAGAGAGCAAGUUCUCUGCACUGGAACACAGGAUCUCCCUCCCUCACAACCUCCCACAUGUCCAAAGGAUGGCUGGCUUCUUCAGGUCUCUCUGAGGGUGCAUGGGAGGAAGGAAGCAUGUGGCUUUUCUCUCAUUGAUGCUGGCUGCAUGUGGCUUUUCCUUUCCCUAUUAAAGUCUGCCAGUGGUGUUGGAAUUUAUCUUGAAUUUUUGUGGCUAACAAAUGGACACCUGUAUUGGGCCCUCCUUGCACAGUACUGCUGACCACAAAGGAAUGAACUCUGCUUAGUACCACUUACGGCUUUUUCAAGACAUCAGAGGGGUUAAUGGCUACCUGAAAAAAGUUGCUAGGAGAGCCAGUGGUAGAUUGACCGGGGCAUCUGAAUAUCCCAAAACCAGAGAGCAGAUAGCCUGAAGUGAGAAGUUUUAAGUAGCUGGGCAGAGUUGACCAUCCACUGUGGGCAAGAGCAGAAUUGUCUUCAGUAGCCCUGAGUGCUUCCUCAGCAUGGCCAAGUCAACAAGCUAAAAAGCAUGGGAUGGUGGAGCCCCUAUCCUUGAUGAAGGAACUGUACCCCAGCUCAGCUCCCCAGGGACCAUGGGCUUCCUCUCCAUGAUAGGUGGGCUGUUCCUUAACCAAAGCCAUAGGACAUUAUGAAAUUCG